GUAAAAAAGUAAGCAAGGGCACACGGAGGAUGCCUUGGCUCUCAGAGGCGAUGAAAGACGUGAUAAGCUGCGAUAAGUUACGGGGAGAUGCAAAUAAUCUUUGAUCCGUAAAUUUCUGAAUGGGGAAACCUAUAUAGUUGAAGACUAUAUGCGAAAGCGCUAACCCGGAGAACUGAAACAUCUAAGUACCCGGAGGACAAGAAAAUAAUAAUGAUUCCCGAAGUAGUGGCGAGCGAAAUGGGAAGAGCCCAAACCAGGGUUGUUUAGGCAACACUGGGGUUGUAGGACUGCAACGUGGACUUAAAAUACAUAGUAGAACCAUCUGGAAAGUUGGGCCAUAGAGGGUGAUAGCCCCGUAAACGAAAUGGAUUUUAUACCUAGCAGUAUCCUGAGUACCGCGAGACUGGAGAAAUCUUGUGGGAAUCUGCCGGCACCAUCCGGUAAGGCUAAAUACUCCUGAGAGACCGAUAGUGCACUAGUACUGUGAAGGAAAGGUGAAAAGAACCUCGAACAGAGGAGUGAAAUAGAACCUGAAACCGUGUGCUUACAACCGGUAGGAGCCCCUUCGUGGGGUGACUGCGUGCCUUUUGCAUAAUGAGCCUACGAGUUACUCUUCACUGGCAAGGUUAAGUCUUUAAGGGACGCAGCCGAAGCGAAAGCGAGUCUGAAUAGGGCGUACAGUCAGUGGAGGUAGACGCGAAACCUUGUGAUCUACCCAUGGUCAGGAUGAAGGACAGGUAACACUGUCUGGAGGUCCGAACUGAUAAGCGUUGAAAAGCUUCCGGAUGAACUGUGGGUAGGGGUGAAAGGCUAAUCAAACUGGGAAAUAGCUCGUACUCCCCGAAAUGCAUUUAGGUGCAGCGUUGAGGUAGAGUAUCAUAGAGGUAGAGCUACUGAUUGGGCUAGGGGCUUCACCGCCUACCAAACCCUGACAAACUCCGAAUACUAUGAUAUAUACUCAGCAGUGAGGCUGUGGGUGCUAAGGUCCAUGGCCGAGAGGGAAAGAACCCAGACCAUCAGCUAAGGUCCCCAAAUCUAUACUAAGUUGGUCUAACGUUGUUUGAUUGCAUUGACAGCUAGGAUGUUGGCUUGGAAGCAGCCAUUCAUUUAAAGAGUGCGUAACAGCUCACUAGUCGAGCGAUCGAGCGUGGAUGAUAAACGGGCAUAAGUAUAGUACCGAAGCUAUGGAAUUCAGCAAUGAAUUGGUAGGGGAGCAUUCCGGCAGCGCUGAAGGUGUGGCGCGAGCCAUGCUGGAGCAGCCGGAAAAGCAAAUGUAGGCAUGAGUAACGAUAAUGCGGGCGAGAAACCCGCACGCCGUAAAACCAAGGUUUCCUGAACAACGUUAAUCGGUUCAGGGUUAGUCGGGACCUAACGAAAACCCGAAAGGGGUAUUGGAUGGACAGUAGGUUAAUAUUCCUACACCGGCAUACAAUUCGAUGAAGUGACGGAUUGACGUAGUUGCUGCGUGCUGACGGAAUAGCACGCUGAGCCGAGCCCUCGGGCAAAGCGAAGUAAUGAAAUUGGUUCCUAGAAAAGCUUAUAAGAUUAGUUGUAUGCUGCUCGUACCGUAAUCCGACACAGGUGGUUGAGGAGAGAAUCCUAAGGCGCUCGAGUGAGUCACGGCUAAGGAACUCGGCAAAUUGGUCCUGUAACUUCGGGAUAAAGGACGCCCCCCUCCGGGGGCCGCAGUGAAAAGGCCCAGGCGACUGUUUAACAAAAACACAUGGCUUUGCUAAAUCGAAAGAUGACGUAUAAGGCCUGACACCUGCCCGGUGCUGGAAGGUUAAGAGGAGAUGUCAUUCGCAAGAAGAAGCAUUGAAUCGAAGCCCCAGUAAACGGCGGCCGUAACUAUAACGGUCCUAAGGUAGCGAAAUUCCUUGUCGGGUAAGUUCCGACCUGCACGAAUGGUGUAACGAUCUGGGCGCUGUCUCAGCCGUGAGCUCGGUGAAAUUGUAGUCCCGGUGAAGAUGCCGGGUACCCGCUACGGGACGGAAAGACCCCGUGCACCUUUACUAUAGCUUAACAUUGCGUUUGGAUAAUUGAUGUGUAGGAUAGCUGGGAGACUUUGAAGCUUGGGCGCUAGCUCAGGUGGAGUCAACGUUGAAAUACCAGCCUUCAAUUAUUCGGACUCUAACUCCUCGCGGAGGACAGUGUUUGGUGGGUAGUUUGACUGGGGUGGUCGCCUCCAAAAAAGUAUCGGAGGCUUUCAAAGGUACACUCAACACGCUUGGUAACCGUGUGUAGAGCGCAAUAGCAUAAGUGUGCUUGACUGUGAGGCCUACAAGCCGAACAGGGUCGAAAGACGGAUAUAGUGAUCCGGUAGUUCCGCAUGGAAGGGCUAUCGCUCAAAGGAUAAAAGGUACGCCGGGGAUAACAGGCUGAUCUCCCCAAGAGCUCACAUCGACGGGGGGUUUGGCACCUCGAUGUCGGCUCGUCACAUCCUGGGGCUGGAGAAGGUUCCAAGGGUUCGGCUGUUCGCCGAUUAAAGUGGCACGCGAGCUGGGUUCAGAACGUCGUGAGACAGUUCGGUCCCUAUCUGUAGUGGGCGUUGGAAAUUUGAGAGGGCCUGACUCUAGUACGAGAGGACCGAGUCGGACGAACCUCUAGUGUACCAAUUAUGCCGCCAGGUGUACCGUUGGGUAGCUACGUUCGGUUGAGAUAAGCGCUGAAAGCAUAUAAGCGCGAAACUCGCCUCAAGAUGAGAUUUCCUUUAAGGGUCGUAGUAGACUACUACGUUGAUAGGCUAUAGGUGUAAAGUUGGUAACAGCAAAGCCGAGUAGUACUAAUUACCCGUAGCUUUUUACGC
This 2806-nucleotide ribosomal RNA is filed under the name Sphingobacteriales bacterium. RNAcentral's name for it is "23S ribosomal RNA". It matches the Rfam family "Bacterial large subunit ribosomal RNA". Lineage: Bacteria; Pseudomonadati; Bacteroidota; Sphingobacteriia; Sphingobacteriales. The record is from RNAcentral.